RNAcentral lists this ribosomal RNA (466 nucleotides) under uncultured bacterium. Its description in RNAcentral is "bacterial SSU rRNA". It matches the Rfam family "Bacterial small subunit ribosomal RNA", at positions 329 to 792 of the family's 1533-position model. The record is from RNAcentral.
UUCCAGACUCCUACGGGAGGCAGCAGUGAGGAAUAUUGGUCAAUGGGCGAGAGCCUGAACCAGCCAAGUCGCGUGAAGGAUGACGGCCCUACGGGUUGUAAACUUCUUUUGUCAGGGAGCAAUUGGGUCCACGCGUGGGCUUAGCGAGAGUACCUGAAGAAAAAGCAUCGGCUAACUCCGUGCCAGCAGCCGCGGUAAUACGGAGGAUGCGAGCGUUAUCCGGAUUUAUUGGGUUUAAAGGGUGCGUAGGCGGAAUAUCAAGUCAGCGGUAAAAUUUCGGGGCUCAACCCCGUCGUGCCGUUGAAACUGGCGUUCUUGAGUGAGCGAGAAGUAUGCGGAAUGCGUGGUGUAGCGGUGAAAUGCAUAGAUAUCACGCAGAACUCCGAUUGCGAAGGCAGCAUACCGGCGCUCAACUGACGCUCAUGCACGAAAGCGUGGGUAUCGAACAGGAUUAGAUCCCCGAGUA